This 444-nucleotide ribosomal RNA is filed under the name uncultured bacterium. Its description in RNAcentral is "bacterial SSU rRNA". It matches the Rfam family "Bacterial small subunit ribosomal RNA", at positions 355 to 796 of the family's 1533-position model. The record is from RNAcentral.
UAAGGAAUAUUGGACAAUGCCCGCAAGGGUGAUCCAGCCAUGCCGCGUGCAGGAAGACGGCCCUAUGGGUUGUAAACUGCUUUUACACCGGAGAAAACCCCCCUACGUGUAGGGGGCUGAUAGUAUGGUGAGAAUAAGCAUCGGCUAACUUCGUGCCAGCAGCCGCGGUAAGACGAAGGAUGCAAGCGUUAUCCGGAUUCAUUGGGUUUAAAGGGAGCGUAGGUGGACUGGUAAGUCAGUGGUGAAAUCUCCGAGCUUAACUCGGAAAUUGCCAUUGAUACUGUCGGUCUUGAGUAUAGUUGCCGUUGGCGGAAUAUGACAUGUAGUGGUGAAAUACAUAGAGAUGUCAUAGAACACCGAUUGCGAAGGCAGCUGACGAAACUAUAACUGACACUGAGGCUCGAAAGUGUGGGGAUCAAACAGGAUUAGAUACCCCUGUAGUCC